UAGUUUGGAAUCCUGAACACAUCCCGAG
RNAcentral lists this small RNA (28 nucleotides) under Bombyx mori (domestic silkworm). Its description in RNAcentral is "ovarian small RNA-23227". Lineage: Eukaryota; Metazoa; Arthropoda; Insecta; Lepidoptera; Bombycidae. The record is from RNAcentral.